RNAcentral lists this ribosomal RNA (315 nucleotides) under uncultured eukaryote. RNAcentral describes it as "partial large subunit ribosomal RNA". It matches the Rfam family "Eukaryotic large subunit ribosomal RNA", at positions 40 to 350 of the family's 3401-position model. The record is from RNAcentral.
AUAUCAGUAAGCGGGGAAAAGAAAACAAUCGUGAUUCCCUUAGUAGCUGCGAGCGAAACGGGAAAAGCUCAAAACCGAAUCUGAUGGUUUUAAAUAACUGUCCGAAUUGUGGUUUAUGGACGGACCCUAGGGUUACCGCGACGCUUUAAUGCUGUUGGAAUACAGGGCCAUAGAGGGUGAUAGCCCCGUAAAGGUGUCGGCGGUGGUUCAAAAGAGUCCGCUCCCAGAGUCACACUGUUUGAGAGUACAGUGUAAAGUGGCAGGUGAGUACCUGUUAAAGCUAAAUAUUCGUCGGAGACCGAUAGCGCACAAGUA